Long non-coding RNA from Trifolium pratense (red clover), 361 nucleotides. RefSeq lists it as uncharacterized. The transcript is spliced from 3 exons. NCBI's taxonomy places the organism in Eukaryota, Viridiplantae, Streptophyta, Magnoliopsida, Fabales, Fabaceae. The record is from RefSeq and is a predicted model, not a curated record.
UAUCCUUAUAUUAAUUUAGGUCACAUUAGGUUGCUAAGUAGUCUUUGUUUACCCUUCAGAAAUGGUAGAAAAAUAGGUUGAGAUUGUAAGGGAAGAAGGAUUGGAGAUAUCUCAACCAGCUCUUGAUCCAAAUUCGACAGAGAUACAUCAUAGAAUUACAGUUAGAGCUAGGACCAAGAAAGUGCAUAGGUGUUCAAUGAUCCCACGACAUUAACAGAGGAGGAGCUGUAUGAUUUGCGAGACCGCUGGACAACUUGUUUUCUUGACCUAUAUAAUCCUGAGGUAGAUUAUGAUGAUGCCGACGAGAAAGAUUAGGAGCUAGCUAGGUUUGUGUGAAGUUACAAUGGACUAGUUAUGAUUA